This 1405-nucleotide unclassified non-coding RNA is filed under the name Hevea brasiliensis (rubber tree). The record is from RNAcentral. Lineage: Eukaryota; Viridiplantae; Streptophyta; Magnoliopsida; Malpighiales; Euphorbiaceae.
GUUUUUUUUUUUUCUUUUUUUUUUCGGGACUUAAUGUAUCAUGUUGAUAUUCCUUAUUUCUCGGCUGUGAAAACUGCCAAAUACUGCACCAUUAGCAAUGUUGAACAAUAACUCCAAGACAAUUCUUUAUGAAAAAGUCUUUACCCUUUGUAUUUACUCCCCAUUCACUUCGACAGCCCUUUUCAUACACAAUUUUGCAAACUAAAAACCAAGACAACAGAACUAACUUAAAUACGCCGAUAAAAUAAUUACAAAAAAAAAAAAAAAAACAAAGACCUAACUUUUCCAGCACAAGAAAAGGAUUUCAAAACCCCCAACUUUUGGGAGCAUCUCCACGCCAAGCCAUGCCUUGCAGCCCUGCUUCAAGUCCGGGUGAUGCCCUGUAGUUGGACUGAUAGGCACCAAGGUUAUGGGAGCCAGGGGUGGGAACCGUCCGAAGGCCCUGCUGCCAUGAAGGGGCAGUAUGCUGCGGGCCAUGAAUCACAUUCAUUUGGGGUGGUCGCAAGGACACGGGUUGUGAAGCCAUUUGCGGGGGUGUGAUCUGCUGCAUCAUAUGGGCACGUAAAAUUGGCGGCUGUAUGUCAUGCAUAUGUACUGGCUGAAGCUGUGGUUUAUUUUCUUCUGGAUGCCAUUCAGGCAUGUCAUCAUCGUCAUCAUUCCAUGGCCGCACUGCAACCCCUAUAGUUCUAUUAUCCUGCCAAUUCCCUGAAGGGGCACUAGUUUUAGGAAGUCCAUAUCUUUGUACAAGCUCCCUCAUUUGAUCUACAGGGCGAGAUGGUGUUUGUAAGUGUGGUUGAAAGGGGGGCAUCCCUUGCCCCCGAGUAACACUAUAGGUAGUUGACUGUGGCCCUGAUGUAACUGAACCACUUGAAAAGUUAAACUCAGGCAGGUCAUCCUCAUCCCGAGCAGCCGGCGGGCCAAACCCAGGAGGCACAUCAUCAUCGUCAUCGUCAUCAGGUUCAACUCUAGUGUAGGUAGUAGGUCCAUUACUGGGUGAGGUCUGUUUAGGCGUGAGAUUCACAUUUACAUUAGCAUCCUUUUCUUGGCGUCUCCUAGAAAAGGAGUGUUGCUUUUUUGAAUUGUGUUUAUGGGGUGAUGCGGAGUUGGGUGACAUUGUUGACGUUAUUUGAGGUUUUCUCCAUACAAUAACACCAAUUAGACCAUUAUCAAUAGCAUUAAGGGCAUCAAUUUGGUCCUUUGGAAGGACCUUUGCAAGCAAUUCGCUAGUCUUUGACAGAGGCGGGCAGAAAUAGAGUUCCACUCCAGAAGCAGGCUCCGCAAAACCCACCCUCCCAUCCAUGACGUACGAAUCAGACACCUCACUAAAACCUGCACGCUCACUAUCUGCUGACCCCUCCUUGCAAACAAAGUGUAGAACCAUAACAGCACGACUUCGGGACAUUGG